RNAcentral lists this ribosomal RNA (468 nucleotides) under uncultured bacterium. RNAcentral's name for it is "partial 16S ribosomal RNA". It matches the Rfam family "Bacterial small subunit ribosomal RNA", at positions 28 to 507 of the family's 1533-position model. The record is from RNAcentral.
GACGAACGCUGGCGGCGUGCUUAACACAUGCCAGUCGAACGGAAAGGCCCUGCUUUUGUGGGGUGCUCGAGUGGCGAACGGGUGAGUAACACGUGAGUAACCUGCCCUUGACUUUGGGAUAUCUUCAGGAAACUGGGGCUAAUACCGGAUAGGAGCUCCUGCUGCAUGGUGGGGGUUGGAAAGUUUCGGCGGUUGGGGAUGGACUCGCGGCUUAUCAGCUUGUUGGUGGGGUAGUGGCUUACCAAGGCUUUGACGGGUAGCCGGCCUGAGAGGGUGACCGGCCACAUUGGGACUGAGAUACGGCCCAGACUCCUACGGGAGGCAGCAGUGGGGAAUAUUGCACAAUGGGCGGAAGCCUGAUGCAGCAACGCCGCGUGCGGGAUGACGGCCUUCGGGUUGUAAACCGCUUUCGCCUGUGACGAAGCGUGAGUGACGGUAAUGGGUAAAGAAGCACCGGCUAACUACGUG